UGAAUACGAGACGCUAAGGCGUCGAAGUAGUGUAUGUCAUACUUCCAAGAAAAGCUUGCACUGUCAUAGAUAAAAAACGCCUGUACCAUAACCGACACAGGUGGGUAGGUAGAGUAUACUAAGGGGCGCGAGAUAACUCUCUCUAAGGAACUCGGCAAAAUAACUCCGUAACUUCGGGAGAAGGAGUGCCUUAUUCGUAAGGUUGCAAUAACAAGAUCCAAGCAACUGUUUAUCAAAAACACAGGUCUCCGCUAAGUCGUAAGACGAUGUAUGGGGGCUGACGCCUGCCCAGUGCCAGAAGGUUAAAGAAGUUGGUUAGCAAUUGCGAAGCUGAUAACUGAAGCCCUGGUGAACGGCGGCCGUAACUAUAACGGUCCUAAGGUAGCGAAAUUCCUUGUCGGGUAAGUUCCGACCCGCACGAAAGGCGUAAUGAUUUGGAUACUGUCUCGGAGAGGGGCUCGGUGAAAUAGACUUGUCUGUGAAGAUGCGGACUACCUGCACCAGGACAGAAAGACCCUAUGAAGCUUUACUGUAACUUGAAAUUGAAAUUGGACUUUAUUCGCGCAGUAUAGGUGGGAGGCGUUGAUUAUAAUCUUGUGGGAUUAUUGGAGCCAUCAGUGAGAUACCACUCUUGUAAUGUUAGAUUUCUAACUUUGAAUCAUUAUCUGGUCAAAGAACAGUUUCAGGCGGGCAGUUUGACUGGGGCGGUCGCCUCCUAAACGGUAACGGAGGCGUACAAAGGUUUCCUCUGAACGGUUAGAAAUCGUAUCUAGAGUGUAAAGGCAUAAGGAAGCUUGACUGUGAGACCUACAAGUCGAGCAGGGACGAAAGUCGGUCUUAGUGAUCUGACGGUACUGAGUGGAAAGGCCGUCACUCAACGGAUAAAAGUUACUCUAAGGAUAACAGGCUGAUCUCCCCCAAGAGUUCACAUCGACGGGGAGGUUUGGCACCUCGAUGUCGGCUCAUCGCAUCCUGGGGCGGUAGUACGUCCCAAGGGUUGGGCUGUUCGCCCAUGAAAGCGGUACGCGAGCUGGGUUCAGAACGUCGUGAGACAGUUCGGUCCAUAUCCGGUGUAGGCGUUAGAAUAUUGAGAGGAGCCUUCUUUAGUACGAGAGGACCGAGAAGGACAUACCUCUGGUGUACCAGUUAUCGUGCCAACGGUAAACGCUGGGUAGCUAUGUAUGGAGUGGAUAACCGCUGAAAGCAUCUAAGUGGGAAGCCCACCUCAAGAUAAGUACUCUCA
RNAcentral lists this ribosomal RNA (1243 nucleotides) under metagenome. RNAcentral's name for it is "bacterial LSU rRNA". It matches the Rfam family "Bacterial large subunit ribosomal RNA", at positions 1564 to 2816 of the family's 2925-position model. The record is from RNAcentral.